RNAcentral lists this ribosomal RNA (506 nucleotides) under uncultured bacterium. RNAcentral describes it as "partial 16S ribosomal RNA". It matches the Rfam family "Bacterial small subunit ribosomal RNA", at positions 29 to 523 of the family's 1533-position model. The record is from RNAcentral.
AGUGAACGCUGGCGGUAGGCCUAACACAUGCAAGUCGAACGGCAGCACAGGAGAGCUUGCUCUCUGGGUGGCGAGUGGCGGACGGGUGAGGAAUACAUCGGAAUCUACUCUGUCGUGGGGGAUAACGUAGGGAAACUUACGCUAAUACCGCAUACGACCUACGGGUGAAAGCAGGGGACCUUCGGGCCUUGCGCGAUUGAAUGAGCCGAUGUCGGAUUAGCUAGUUGGCGGGGUAAAGGCCCACCAAGGCGACGACUCGUAGCCAGUCUGAGAGAAUGAUCGGCCACACGGGAACGGAGACACGGUCCAGACUCCUACGGGAGGCAGCAGUGGGGAAUAUUGGACAAUGGGCGCAAGCCUGAUCCAGCCAUACCGCGUGGGUGAAGAAGGCCUUCGGGUUGUAAAGCCCUUUUGUUGGGAAAGAAAUCCAGCUGGCUAAUACCCGGUUGGGAUGACGGUACCCAAAGAAUAAGCACCGGCUAACUUCGUGCCAGCAGCCGCCGUAA